AGGAUCCCCUAGUAACUGCGAGUGAACCGGGAAAAGCUCAAAUUUUGAAUCUGGCGGUCUUUUAGGCCGUCCGAGUUGUAAUCUAGAGAAGUGUUUUCCGCGCUGGACCGUGUAUAAGUUUCCUGGAAUGGAACGUCGUAGAGGGUGAGAAUCCCGUCUUUGACACGGACUACCAGGGCUAUGUGAUGCGCUCUCGACGAGUCGAGUUGUUUGGGAAUGCAGCUCAAAUUGGGUGGUAAAUUCCAUCUAAAGCUAAAUACAGGCGAGAGACCGAUAGCGAACAAGUACCGUGAGGGAAAGAUGAAAAGAACUUUGGAAAGAGAGUUAAACAGUACGUGAAAUUGCUGAAAGGGAAACGCUUGAUGUCAGUCGCGUUUGCCGGGGAUCAGCCUUGCUUAACGGCUCGGCGUACUUCCUGGUGGACGGGUCAGCAUCAGUUUUGAUCGUCGGAAAAUGGCUAGGAGGAAUGUGGCAUUCUUUCGGGAGUGUGUUAUAGACUCUAGUCGAAUACGAUGGUUGGGACUGAGGAACUCAGCACGACCUUAGGGUUCGGGACUUCGGUCUACGUUUGCGUGCUUAGGAUGCUGGCAUAAUGGCCUUAAGCGACCCGUCUUGAAACACGGACCAAGGAGUCUAACG
This 639-nucleotide ribosomal RNA is filed under the name Rhizopogon sp. Trappe 12398. Its description in RNAcentral is "LSU rRNA". It matches the Rfam family "Eukaryotic large subunit ribosomal RNA", at positions 71 to 680 of the family's 3401-position model. Lineage: Eukaryota; Fungi; Basidiomycota; Agaricomycetes; Boletales; Rhizopogonaceae. The record is from RNAcentral.